This 301-nucleotide ribosomal RNA is filed under the name uncultured bacterium. RNAcentral's name for it is "partial 16S ribosomal RNA". It matches the Rfam family "Bacterial small subunit ribosomal RNA", at positions 509 to 807 of the family's 1533-position model. The record is from RNAcentral.
CAGUCGCCACGGUAAUACGUAGGUGGCAAGCGUUGUCCGGAAUUAUUGGGCGUAAAGGGCUCGCAGGCGGUUUCUUAAGUCUGAUGUGAAAGCCCCCGGCUCAACCGGGGAGGGUCAUUGGAAACUGGGAAACUUGAGUGCAGAAGAGGAGAGUGGAAUUCCACGUGUAGCGGUGAAAUGCGUAGAGAUGUGGAGGAACACCAGUGGCGAAGGCGUCUCUCUGGUCUGUAACUGACGCUGAGGAGCGAAAGCGUGGGGAGCGAACAGGAUUAGAUACCCGGGUAGUCCCUGUCUCUUAUAC